CACGUAGUUAGCCGUGACUUUCUGGCGGGGCACCAUCAGUCAGCACCCAUUUCCUGAUGCUGCCUUUUUUCCCCCGCAACAGAGCUUUACGACCCGAAGGCCUUCUUCACUCACGCGGCAUUGCUCGUUCAGGCUUGCGCCCAUUGACGAAAAUUCCCUACUGCUGCCUCCCGCAGGAGUCUGGGCCGUGUCUCAGUCCCAAUGUGGCCGUCCGCCCUCUCAGGCCGGCUAUGCAUCAUCGUCUUGGUGGGCCUUUACCCCGCCAACCACUAAUGCACCGCAGGUCCAUCCGCGCCCCCAUCCCCCUAAAGGAUGUUUCACAGAAAGAAGAUGCCUCCUUCCUGUACAUCGGGAUUUGUUCUCCGUUUCCAGAGCGUAUUCCCGGUGCGCGGGCAGGUUCCCUACGUGUUACUCACCCGUUCGCCACUAGAGACCCGAAGGUCUCUCGUUCGACUUGCAUGUAUUAGGCAUGCCGCCAGCGUUCAUCCUGACGCCAGGA
RNAcentral lists this ribosomal RNA (499 nucleotides) under uncultured Allobaculum sp. RNAcentral's name for it is "partial 16S ribosomal RNA". The record is from RNAcentral. Lineage: Bacteria; Bacillati; Bacillota; Erysipelotrichia; Erysipelotrichales; Erysipelotrichaceae.